Molecule: ribosomal RNA, 499 nt
Filed under: uncultured bacterium
Lineage: Bacteria
Description: bacterial SSU rRNA
Rfam family: Bacterial small subunit ribosomal RNA
Source: RNAcentral
GAUGAACGCUGGCGGCGUGCUUAACACAUGCAAGUCGAACGAAGCACUUAAUGAGAUUUCUUCGGAUUGAUUAUUUUGUGACUGAGUGGCGGACGGGUGAGUAACGCGUGGGUAACCUGCCCCAGACCGGGGGAUAACAGUCGGAAACGACUGCUAAUACCGCAUAAGCGCACAGUGCCGCAUGGCACAGUGUGAAAAACUCCGGUGGUCUGGGAUGGACCCGCGUCCGAUUAGUUAGUUGGCGGGGUAACGGCCCACCAAACCGACGAUGGAUAGGGGUUCUGAGAGGAAGGUCCCCCACAUUGGUACUGAGACACGGACCAAACUCCUACGGGAGGCAGCAGUGAGGAAUAUUGGUCAAUGGGCGUAAGCCUGAACUAGCCAAGUCGCGUGAGGGAUGAAGGUUCUAUGGAUCGUAAACCUCUUUUAUAAGGGAAUAAAGUGCGGGACGUGUCCCGUUUUGUAUGUACCUUAUGAAUAAGGAUCGGCUAACUCCGUG